GCCGCUGAAGCCGCAGGGCCUAAUUGCCGGCCCAUUAACUAUCACAACUUCUUCAAGUAGUUCUGAAUGUUUGCUGCAUAACAUAGCUAAAUGAAAGACAACUAAGAUAACCGGAGGAUCGGGUCCUCAGGAUGGCCUUCCGAGCAUUGGCCUACAUGGCCUCUGGCCCAUCCAUUAGAGCUGGGCCGUCCGCUAUCAUCGAUGUGAUCUUGCUCUUCUUCUUGCUUCUAGGCUGGUUUCCUUGCUACACCAGCGUCUUGAUGGCUGCUAUCUUCAUACCUGUCAGGGGCUUUGGGAGGUGCUGUGCCAGGUGAUCAAAAUCAACAUUAGAGUCGGUCGCCUUGGGAGAUAAUUACCCUAGCUUUUUUGAUAACACUCUUUGUGCUUGUUGGAUACUAUCUUUCCCCGGGUGAAGUUCGGCCUUGUCUACCAAAUGGGAGCUGUUCCUUUGUGUGGUAGUAAUCUCAGGUUGAUCUUGGUGGGAUUGCCUAGUGUUAAUUUUUGGAGGAGUGUUCAGAAUUGGUACUGGUGGCAUGUGUAAAAUGAAAUCGAUGAAGGUUGUUAAGUUUUCUGGUUGGGAGAGCUCACCAUUGUUCAGUUGUGUCCUUUCUCUGUUGUGCUCUACACUAUCAUUGUGUUCAUUCUCAUCGUGUGCAGGUGAGCGAGUGAUGCUUACAGCAAACUCUGGCGUGGCACCGGACACUGGGUUGUUCUCUGGGAUCGAAACAUCUGUAGAAGGUUGGGUGUGCUCUCCUUUAUGCAGCGGUGUCUUUUCACUAUUGUGCUCACUGUAGGUGUUUUGUUCAGAUGCAGCUGGGCGAGUGUUGCUUACUACAUUCGCCAAGGUUUCACAGCGAAAUGGGUUGUUUAGAGUGUUGGUCUCAUUGGCCAAAGCAGUUGUGCUAGGAGCAUAGGGAACAGAUGGGUUUUGGGUGGCUUGCAGGGUGAUCUCUGAAACUUCCAUGUUCUCUCUCACAUUCAAUGAAAUGCAAAACUCAGGAAUAAAAAUAGUAGAGGUAGGUUCAUCAGAGAUGCGAACCUUCUUGGUGGGAUCAACUUGGGUGAAGUUUCUCCUCCGAUCCUCCUCUGCAGCUGUCGCCCCUUCACCUCCUCUGGGCGCUGGCGAGAUGACUGGUUCCCAUCCUAAAGCCGUGUUCAGCAUGUUCAGAAUGCACCGCUCUUUGGUGGAAUAUCCUGC
This 1198-nucleotide long non-coding RNA is filed under the name Setaria italica (foxtail millet). RNAcentral's name for it is "long non-coding RNA (SITA_LNC006148)". Lineage: Eukaryota; Viridiplantae; Streptophyta; Magnoliopsida; Poales; Poaceae. The record is from RNAcentral.